This is a small nuclear RNA of Rana temporaria (common frog), 192 nucleotides long. RefSeq annotates it as U2 spliceosomal RNA. The transcript has a single exon. NCBI's taxonomy places the organism in Eukaryota, Metazoa, Chordata, Amphibia, Anura, Ranidae. The record is from RefSeq and is a predicted model, not a curated record.
GGUGUUUCUAAGUGUUCGUUGGAGAACUAGUGAGAUACAAAGUUUGUUAUCAGUUUAAUAUCCGAUACGUCCCCUAUCUGGGGACCAUAUAUUAAAUGGAUUUUUAGAACAGGGAGAUGAAAGAAGAGCUUGCUCUGUCCACUCCACGCAUCGACCUGGUAUUGCAGUACCUCCAGGACCGAUGCACCCCUU